RNAcentral lists this ribosomal RNA (492 nucleotides) under uncultured bacterium. RNAcentral describes it as "partial 16S ribosomal RNA". It matches the Rfam family "Bacterial small subunit ribosomal RNA", at positions 29 to 507 of the family's 1533-position model. The record is from RNAcentral.
AGUGAACGCUGGCGGUAGGCCUAACACAUGCAAGUCGAACGGCAGCACAGUAAGAGCUUGCUCUUACGGGUGGCGAGUGGCGGACGGGUGAGGAAUACAUCGGAAUCUACUUUUUCGUGGGGGAUAACGUAGGGAAACUUACGCUAAUACCGCAUACGACCUACGGGUGAAAGCAGGGGAUCUUCGGACCUUGCGCGAUUGAAUGAGCCGAUGUCGGAUUAGCUAGUUGGCGGGGUAAAGGCCCACCAAGGCGACGAUCCGUAGCUGGUCUGAGAGGAUGAGCAGCCAGAUGGGAGCUGAGACGGGGUCGAGACUCAGACGGGAGGCAGCAGUGGGGAAUAUGGGACAAUGGGCGCAAGCUUGAUCCACCCAUACGGCGGGAGUGAAGAAGGCCUUCGGGUUGUAAAGCCCUUUUGUUGGGAAAGAAAAGCAGCAGGUUAAUACCCCGCUGUUCUGACGGUACCCAAAGAAUAAGCACCGGCUAACUUCGUG